GAGUGCGCCCUUCUCGGGUCCCCUAGGUCGCGGGGCAGCCGGGGCGGAAGGGGCUUGUUCAUUAUUUUGAGAGUUUGUUGUGAACGUCAUAACCUUUCGUCCUUAAAUAUUGCCGAUACUUGACCUACGCAAGAGACAAUGUCAUGUGAUUCAGCCUAAUAUCUCAGAUGCAGCAUUCAAGGUUCUAUCUUGGAAGCAGAGACUGUGCCCUCACCAGAUGCUGAACCUGCUGAGCACCCUGAUCUUCCACUUCACCUUCAUCAGAACUACUGGGGCUGUGGCUGAGAUGUCACAUGGCAGAUAGGAUCACAAAUUUCUGUUGUAUCUGGAUGGAGAUCAGCAGGAGGAUCUAUGGGUGAGAAGAAGCACAGUUACAGAUGGAUUCUAGAGCCUGCUUGCUGACACAGGCUUGCAACUGCGGACUUUAUAAGCUUAGUUUUUAAUCUGCUAUCAGCUAGCAUAAUACCAUAAAUGCAUAAGAAACUAAGUAUUCAGUCUUACGAGAAAUGCUAUCUUGACCUGACCCUUUCUCCAAAUAAAUUGACAAAAUAUCUCAUCGUCUAGGAUGCCAGACAGAAAUACCAGUUGCAAUGUUUUGUUGCAUAAAGUUUAUCCUAAUUUAAAUUAGUGGCAUAUAAAGUCAUCAUCUUGCUUGAACAAACAUCUUAUUAAAUUGAGCAUGUCUUUUAUCCCAUGAAAUGAAAUUAAUUUUGAGAUAGUUAUUUUUCAGUUGGAAAUUUAUUGAGUUGAUAGAAAACAAGUUAUAUAGUCUUCCAAAGAAUAUGUUACAUCCAUUUGCAUUUUGUUUUUCUUCAGCAAUGUUUGGUUUUUAGAAAAUCUUACAAGUUAAAUAUACUAAUGUAGAAAUUGAAAGAAAAUAAUCAGAGAUAGAGCAAUAAAUUUGCAAAUAAAGAUUAUUCUUAAAACAAA
This 930-nucleotide long non-coding RNA is filed under the name Homo sapiens (human). RNAcentral describes it as "long intergenic non-protein coding RNA 882". The record is from RNAcentral. Lineage: Eukaryota; Metazoa; Chordata; Mammalia; Primates; Hominidae.